Molecule: ribosomal RNA, 253 nt
Filed under: uncultured bacterium
Lineage: Bacteria
Description: partial 16S ribosomal RNA
Rfam family: Bacterial small subunit ribosomal RNA
Source: RNAcentral
GACGAACCGAGCGAACGUUGUUCGGAAUCACUGGGCUUAAAGGGCGCGUAGGCGGGCUGUCAAGUUUGGGGUGAAAUCCCGCGGCUCAACCGUGGAACUGCCUCAAAUACUGACGGUCUCGAGGGAGAUAGGGGCGAGCGGAACUAAUGGUGGAGCGGUGAAAUGCGUUGAUAUCAUUAGGAACUCCGGUGGCGAAGGCGGCUCGCUGGAUCUCUUCUGACGCUGAGGCGCGAAAGCUAGGGGAGCAAACGGG